This 301-nucleotide ribosomal RNA is filed under the name uncultured bacterium. RNAcentral's name for it is "partial 16S ribosomal RNA". It matches the Rfam family "Bacterial small subunit ribosomal RNA", at positions 509 to 807 of the family's 1533-position model. The record is from RNAcentral.
CAGUCGCCGCGGGAAUACGUAGGGUGCAAGCGUUAGUCGGAAUUACUGGGCGUAAAGCGUGCGCAGGCGGUUAUAUAAGACAGAUGUGAAAUCCCCGGGCUCAACCUGGGAACUGCAUUUGUGACUGUAUAGCUAGAGUACGGCAGAGGGGGAUGGAAUUCCGCGUGUAGCAGUGAAAUGCGUAGAUAUGCGGAGGAACACCGAUGGCGAAGGCAAUCCCCUGGGCCUGUACUGACGCUCAUGCACGAAAGCGUGGGGAGCAAACAGGAUUAGAUACCCCCGUAGUCCCUGUCUCUUAUAC